GGUGGCUCAGUGGUUGAGUGUUUGCCUUGCAUGCAUGAGGCCCUGGGUUCAAUUCCUCAGCACCA
Non-coding RNA from Dipodomys ordii (Ord's kangaroo rat), 65 nucleotides. Lineage: Eukaryota; Metazoa; Chordata; Mammalia; Rodentia; Heteromyidae. The record is from Rfam.